CUACACAUGCAAGUCGACGGCAGCGCGAAUGGGGUAACCCAUUUGGCGGCGAGUGGCGGACGGGUGAGUAAAAUAUAGGAAUCUACCUUGAGGUGGGGGAUAACUUGGGGAAACUCAAGCUAAUACCACAUGAGACCUACGGGUGAAAGCAGGGGAUCGUAAGACCUUGCGCCUUAAGAUGAGCCUAUAACGGAUUAGCUUGUUGGGGGGGUAAUGGCCCACCAAGGCGACGAUCUGUAGCUGGUCUGAGAGGAUGACCAGCCACACUGGGACUGAGACACGGCCCAGACUCCUACGGGAGGCAGCAGUGGGGAAUAUUGGACAAUGGGCGAAAGCCUGAUCCAGCAAUGCCGCGUGUGUGAAGAAGGCCUUCGGGUUGUAAAGCACUUUCAGUGAGGAGGAAGGGGCAGAUGCUAAUAUCAUCUGUCAUUGACGUUACUCACAGAAGAAGCACCGGCUAGCUCUGUGCCAGCAGCCGCGGUAAUACAGAGGGUGCAAGCGUUAAUCGGAAUUACUGCGCGUAAAGCGUGUGUAGGUGGUUAGAUAAGUUAGAUGUGAAAUCCCCGGGCUUAACCUGGGAACUGCGUUUAAGACUGUUUAACUAGAGUUUUGUAGAGGGUAGUGGAAUUUCCAGUGUAGCGGUGAAAUGCGUAGAUAUUGGAAAGGAACACCAGUGGCGAAAGCGACUACCUGGACAAAAACCGACACUGAGACACGAAAGCGUGGGGAGCAAACAGACUAGAUACCCUGGUAGUCCAUGCUGUAACUAUGAGAACUUGCUGUGGGUGCAUAAUGCAUUUAGUAGCGAGCUACGCGUA
This 818-nucleotide ribosomal RNA is filed under the name uncultured bacterium. RNAcentral describes it as "bacterial SSU rRNA". It matches the Rfam family "Bacterial small subunit ribosomal RNA", at positions 49 to 861 of the family's 1533-position model. The record is from RNAcentral.